Molecule: transfer RNA, 75 nt
Filed under: Escherichia coli
Lineage: Bacteria; Pseudomonadati; Pseudomonadota; Gammaproteobacteria; Enterobacterales; Enterobacteriaceae
Description: tRNA-Val
Rfam family: tRNA
About the family: Transfer RNA (tRNA) molecules are approximately 80 nucleotides in length. Their secondary structure includes four short double-helical elements and three loops (D, anti-codon, and T loops).
Source: RNAcentral
GGGUGAUUAGCUCAGCUGGGAGGCACCUCCCUUACAAGGAGGGGGUCGGCGGUUCGAUCCCGUCAUCACCCACCA